AACGAACGCUGGCGGCAUGCCUAACACAUGCAAGUCGAACGAGACCUUCGGGUCUAGUGGCGCACGGGUGCGUAACGCGUGGGAACCUGCCCUUAGGUUCGGAAUAACUCCCCGAAAGGGGUGCUAAUACCGGAUAAUGUCUUCGGACCAAAGAUUUAUCGCCUUUGGAUGGGCCCGCGUUGGAUUAGCUAGUUGGUAGGGUAAAAGCCUACCAAGGCGACGAUCCAUAGCUGGUCUGAGAGGAUGAUCAGCCACACUGGGACUGAGACACGGCCCAGACUCCUACAGGAAGCAGCAGUGGGGAAUAUUGGACAAUGGGCGAGAGCCUGAUCCAGCAAUGCCGCGUGAGUGAUGAAGGCCUUAGGGUUGUAAAGCUCUUUUACCCGGGAUGAUAAUGACAGUACCGGGAGAAUAAGCUCCGGCUAACUCCGUG
This 433-nucleotide ribosomal RNA is filed under the name uncultured bacterium. RNAcentral describes it as "partial 16S ribosomal RNA". It matches the Rfam family "Bacterial small subunit ribosomal RNA", at positions 29 to 507 of the family's 1533-position model. The record is from RNAcentral.